UGGGUGAAAGCCGUGUUCAUUGACACUAGGCCGGACCCCUAUUCACGAGGAAAGCCUUAGUGCAUUAAACUUGUGCUUUGGUCGAUUCGUGUCGUUUACUGUGAACAAAUUAGGGUGUUUAAAGCAGACCUCUGUUUGUAUACAUUAGCAUGGAAUAAUUAGAUAUGACUUCAGUUAUAUUUUGUUGGUGAUAACUAAAGUAAUGAUUGAUAGGAACAGUCGUGGGUAUUCGUAUGAGCAUGUCAGAGGUGAAAUUCUUGCAUUUUGAUCAGACGAACUACUGCGAAAGCAUUUACCAAGGAUGUUUUCAUUAAUCAAGAACGAAAGUUAGGGGAUCGAAGAUGAUUAGAUACCAUCGUAG
This 361-nucleotide ribosomal RNA is filed under the name Labyrinthula sp. RNAcentral's name for it is "SSU rRNA". It matches the Rfam family "Eukaryotic small subunit ribosomal RNA", at positions 657 to 1023 of the family's 1831-position model. The record is from RNAcentral. Lineage: Eukaryota; Bigyra; Labyrinthulida; Labyrinthulaceae.